UGGGAUCGCGUUCUUCUCCGUCCUGCAGCUGGUGCCUUUGCCGUGACCGGCUGAUGGCGGUCCGGAGCGAUGCUGAGCCCGGGCCCAGCCUCUCAGCACCGCCGUGGGCGCCGCACAGAUCUAGGGGAGCCUGACGGGACGUUGAGAACGUGGAGUAGGAGCAGUAUCCCACCAUGAGGGUGUCCUUUUCAAGUUCUGAGAACUGACUGCAAGGCUGCAGAUGGUGUUGGCAGCAGCAGAGGAGGCUGUAUUCCAGAGGAGUCUCCAGCCAUCCUGAAAGCAAACUUGCCAGUGAUGUCUGCCAGUUUUGUUCUGGAUGGGCACGUUUGGUAAUCCUGCGCACCACAGGAUCUUCUGCACCUUUUAAUAAACUCUUGCUUAUAAAACUGA
This is a long non-coding RNA of Grammomys surdaster, 390 nucleotides long. RefSeq lists it as uncharacterized. The transcript has 4 exons. NCBI's taxonomy places the organism in Eukaryota, Metazoa, Chordata, Mammalia, Rodentia, Muridae. The record is from RefSeq and is a predicted model, not a curated record.